Molecule: ribosomal RNA, 436 nt
Filed under: uncultured bacterium
Lineage: Bacteria
Description: bacterial SSU rRNA
Rfam family: Bacterial small subunit ribosomal RNA
Source: RNAcentral
AACGAACGCUGGCGGCAUGCCUAACACAUGCAAGUCGAACGAAGCCUUCGGGCUUAGUGGCGCACGGGUGCGUAACGCGUGGGAAUCUGCCCUUGGGUUCGGAAUAACAGUUAGAAAUGACUGCUAAUACCGAAUGAUGUCUUCGGACCAAAGAUUUAUCGCCCAAGGAUGAGCCCCGCGUCGGAUUAGCUAGUUGGUGAGGUAAAGGCUCACCAAGGCGACGAUCCGUAGCUGGUCUGAGAGGAUGAUCAGCCACACUGGGACUGAGACAUGGCCCAGACUCCCUACGGGAGGCAGCAGUGGGAAUAUUGGACAAUGGGCGAAGCCUGAUCCAGCAAUGCCGCGUGAGUGACGAAGCCUUAGGGUUGUAAAGCUACUUUUAGGUGGGGGAAGAGUAAUGACGGUACCACAGAAGAAGCCCCGGCUAACCUCCGUG